Molecule: transfer RNA, 59 nt
Filed under: Cercopithecus kandti (golden monkey)
Lineage: Eukaryota; Metazoa; Chordata; Mammalia; Primates; Cercopithecidae
Description: tRNA-Ser
Source: RNAcentral
GAGAAAAUUCGCAAGGAUUGCUAACCCAUGCCUCCAUAUUUAAAACUAUGGCUUUCUCA